GAAGAGAAGAUAGGACAGUUAAUAUCUUUGGUAAAUUAAGAAAAUAAUGAGUAUGAGAGGGAUAGAGAGUACAAAAAUUACUCAGAUGCAGCAAAAAGUAUGAGAUUUACCAGAGGGAAAAUCUUGAGUUAGGAGACAGUGUUACUUCCAGGAUCUGAGCUAUGGAAGCAGUUACCAGCUAAUUCGCCACAUGUGCCUGUGACAUAUCUUUGAGUGUUUUGCAGUUGUGCCACAUGAUUUGAGUGCUUUUCUGGUCUGGGAAGCUUUAAUUAUUUGUUCUGCAUUACCAGUA
RNAcentral lists this long non-coding RNA (292 nucleotides) under Lotus japonicus. RNAcentral's name for it is "long non-coding RNA (LJAP_LNC000671)". Lineage: Eukaryota; Viridiplantae; Streptophyta; Magnoliopsida; Fabales; Fabaceae. The record is from RNAcentral.